GUGGAACCUAUCACCCUUGAGUGAGAGAUGAUGCUGAAAAGUAAAGCGGAAGUUAUGGUCGCUAAAGAAACACCUGUCGAACCUUUAGUGGCAAAAGAACAGGCUGUUUGUGAGUGGGUGUCAGAGGCACAACGCUAAUUUAGUCCUAAAUUUGUUUAUUAAUUACGUUCAUGCUCAGCUGGUAAAUACAUCGAUAGAUUUUAAAUGGUCUUUUAAAAGACGCCAAGGUUUGAUAUUUAGUGAA
Long non-coding RNA from Hippocampus comes (tiger tail seahorse), 244 nucleotides. RefSeq lists it as uncharacterized. The record is from RefSeq and is a predicted model, not a curated record. NCBI's taxonomy places the organism in Eukaryota, Metazoa, Chordata, Actinopteri, Syngnathiformes, Syngnathidae. The transcript has 2 exons.